AUUACAACUUUCAACAACGGAUCUCUUGGUUCUGGCAUCGAUGAAGAACGCAGCGAAAUGCGAUAAGUAGUGUGAAUUGCAGAAUUCAGUGAAUCAUCGAAUCUUUGAACGCACAUUGCGCCCUUUGGUAUUCCAAAGGGCCAUGCCUGUUCGAGCGUC
This 159-nucleotide ribosomal RNA is filed under the name Alternaria alternata. RNAcentral describes it as "5.8S ribosomal RNA". It matches the Rfam family "5.8S ribosomal RNA". Rfam says of the family: 5.8S ribosomal RNA (5.8S rRNA) is a component of the large subunit of the eukaryotic ribosome. It is transcribed by RNA polymerase I as part of the 45S precursor that also contains 18S and 28S rRNA. The record is from RNAcentral. Lineage: Eukaryota; Fungi; Ascomycota; Dothideomycetes; Pleosporales; Pleosporaceae.